This is a long non-coding RNA of Amphiprion ocellaris (clown anemonefish), 811 nucleotides long. RefSeq lists it as uncharacterized. The record is from RefSeq and is a predicted model, not a curated record. The transcript is spliced from 3 exons. NCBI's taxonomy places the organism in Eukaryota, Metazoa, Chordata, Actinopteri, Pomacentridae.
UUUGCUUCAUGAGCUACAGCGCAUGUGUCGAAGCCUCGGGUAUCAGAGGACCAUCACUGUCUGUGGCUGCUGUUGACCUUGUUUUUGGAGUAAAACACGGUGGAAGCUGAAUUAGUGAGGAUGACUCCUGCUCCUGUCAUCUCUAAGCUCCUCACACAUCUUUACCUGCACAUGAGGAAAAUCACUCCUGUAGAAUGCAGAUGUUCAGAGGGAGAUGAUGCCACAUCUGGUCCAGCUGAUGGAAGGUCUUGAAGUUCUCUGACUGGCCUCCACUGAAGAUGGUCGUCUGACCCUGAUUUAAGGUUCAGAUGCUCAGUAACAAACUCCACCAAUGAGCCAACAGGGAAGCUUUAGGUUUAUUAAAUGUUGCUAUGAAGGCAUCGCUGUUUUUCUUAGUGAAUGCAAUGUGCUCCAACUGAAACUUGAAUUAGAACUUAGAAGUAAAUCCUUCCAUCUGAAAGGAUUUAGUUGCAUUAAUAACCUCACAACAUUCUAAUUUUUAUUCCAGUCUUGGUUGGAAAUAGAAUCUCUGUAUUGAUUCAGGUAAAAACUGAACUUCACAGCAUGUUGGAGCAAAACAACCAGAUGAAAACUGUGAUGGUGUUGGAUUGUCAGACUGUAAUGUUGCAGCUCAGAGCAGCUUUUCUAGCUCAGUUCAUUCUGACAUUCAGCUAUGAAUCAACACAGCAGAUGGUGAUCCAUGCUGUGGAAGUCUCACAUCUCCUGAUUUAAUGGAGCUGCUUUGCACUUUUUACACUGUUUAUUCACCAACACUUUAUUUAAUAAAAGUUCAUCUAGUUUUUAUGAGGAA